GAUGAACGCUGGCGGCGUGCCUAAUACAUGCAAGUCGAGCGAACGGACGAGAAGCUUGCUUCUCUGAUGUUAGCGGCGGACGGGUGAGUAACACGUGGAUAACCUACCUAUAAGACUGGGAUAACUUCGGGAAACCGGAGCUAAUACCGGAUAAUAUUUUGAACCGCAUGGUUCAAAAGUGAAAGACGGUCUUGCUGUCACUUAUAGAUGGAUCCGCGCUGCAUUAGCUAGUUGGUAAGGUAACGGCUUACCAAGGCAACGAUGCAUAGCCGACCUGAGAGGGUGAUCGGCCACACUGGAACUGAGACACGGUCCAGACUCCUACGGGAGGGAGCAGUAUGGAAUCUUCCGCAAUGGGCGAAAGCCUUACGGAGCAACGCCGCGUGAGUGAUGAAGGUCUUCGGAUCGUAAAACUCUUUUAUUAGGGAAGAACAUAUGUGUAAGUAACUGUGCACAUCUUGACGGUACCUAAUCAGAAAGCCACGGCUAACUACGUG
RNAcentral lists this ribosomal RNA (497 nucleotides) under uncultured bacterium. RNAcentral's name for it is "partial 16S ribosomal RNA". It matches the Rfam family "Bacterial small subunit ribosomal RNA", at positions 28 to 507 of the family's 1533-position model. The record is from RNAcentral.